Molecule: small nuclear RNA, 188 nt
Organism: Gopherus evgoodei (Goodes thornscrub tortoise)
Lineage: Eukaryota; Metazoa; Chordata; Testudines; Testudinidae
Gene: U2
Rfam family: U2 spliceosomal RNA
About the family: U2 is a small nuclear RNA (snRNA) component of the spliceosome (involved in pre-mRNA splicing). Complementary binding between U2 snRNA (in an area lying towards the 5' end but 3' to hairpin I) and the branchpoint sequence (BPS) of the intron results the bulging out of an unpaired adenosine, on the BPS, which initiates a nucleophilic attack at the intronic 5' splice site, thus starting the first of two transesterification reactions that mediate splicing.
Source: Ensembl
UCAUCUUUAUUUAAAUAUUCUCUAAUAAACUUUUAAAUCUUUUUGUAUUAGUUUGAUAUCUGGUAUGUUCCCAUUGAAAGCCUUAUAUCAAAUAGAUCUGUGGAGUGGGGAGAUGGAUUAGGGGCUUUCUCUAUCCACUCUGUGCAUCAUCCUGGUAUUGCAGUAUCUUUGGGUGUGGUGAAUCUUCC